AGCAGCCGCGGUAAUUCCAGCUCCAAUAGCGUAUAUUAAAGUUGUUGCAGUUAAAAAGCUCGUAGUUGAAUUUCGGGGUCAGUAGGUCGGUCGUGCCACAGGUAUGCACUGGUCUCACUGAUUCCUCCUUCCUGAUGAACCGUAAUGCCAUUAAUUUGGUGUUGCGGGGAGACUGGACUGUUACUUUGAAAAAUUAGAGUGUUUAAAGCAGGCUAACGCUUGAAUACAUUAGCAUGGAAUAACGGAAUGGGACGUUCGAUCUUAUUUUGUUGGUUUCUAAGAUUGACGUAAUGAUUAAUAGGGAUAGUUGGGGGCAUUAGUAUUCAAUUGUCAGAGGUGAAAUUCUUGGAUUUAUUGAAGACUAACUACUGCGAAAGCAUUUGCCAAGGAUGUUUUCAUUAAUCAAGAACGAAAGUUAGGGGAUCGAAGACGAUCAGAUACCGUCGUAGUCUUAACCAUAAACUAUGCCGACUAGGGAUCGGAUGAUGUUAAUUUUUAAUGA
RNAcentral lists this small RNA (502 nucleotides) under uncultured Glomus. RNAcentral's name for it is "SSU rRNA". It matches the Rfam family "Eukaryotic small subunit ribosomal RNA", at positions 569 to 1074 of the family's 1831-position model. Lineage: Eukaryota; Fungi; Glomeromycota; Glomeromycetes; Glomerales; Glomeraceae. The record is from RNAcentral.